This 282-nucleotide small RNA is filed under the name Histoplasma capsulatum. RNAcentral's name for it is "hypothetical RNA". The record is from RNAcentral. Lineage: Eukaryota; Fungi; Ascomycota; Eurotiomycetes; Onygenales; Ajellomycetaceae. RNAcentral also lists the same sequence under 1 other name.
AGCUCGCUUAAGUGUUAUUAUGAUUCCCACUCAGAUAUUCCUUAUACUGCUUCCACAUCUGCUCAGCAAUAUUAUCCCAUUUUUUCAUCAUUUCAUCACUAUUCUCUUGAACAUCUGCAGGAACUGUUUCUCUUCUUUCCUCCUCAAUAUUAGAAUUCUCAUCAUAUUGAGUCAAUUUGAGUUGUUAUAGAGAAUCCAUCUCAACAUCAAUUAUAGAUUUGAAAUCGCCGUUUAAACACCCCAAACACACACUCAAUUACACCUCACAAGCUCACAUGGCAA